GUAAAAAUAAGAUAUAUAAAUUAUACUUAUUGAUUAUAAAAAUCAAUGUAAGUAUGUAAAGGAAUUAUUAUGCAAUUCUAGCUAUGUAUUAAGGAGAGCAAAUUUGAUAUAAAAAGGAAUAUAAAAUAUUUCUAGUUAAUAAGCUCUAGAAGAAAUUUAAUAAUAAACGAAGUGAAGUGAAAUAUCUCAGUAACUUCAGGAAAAGAAAUCAAAAGAGAUUCUAUGAAUAGCGUGAGCAAAAGUAGAUAAGUCUAAUAAGUAAAAUGGUUUAUAAACUGUUUGAAUGGGGAACCUUCCUCAAAGACUAAAUAUGAUACAUAAGCGAUAGAUGAUGGGCCGUGAGGUAAUUGGAAGUUAGUAGUAAUUUUAUAAGCAGUUCGAAUAGACUUAAUUUAAGCUAAAGAACGUACCUUUUGCAUAAUGGGUCACCAAGUUAACAUUAGAUGCGAGAGAAUUUCGUAGUUAAACCAAACGUUAAAAUAACGAUAAGUGUCUAAAGUUAGACCCGAAGCCUAGUGAUUUUACUAUGAUCAGGAUUAUAAAAGUCCGAACGGGUGAUUGUGGCAAAAAUCUCCGAAGAAUCGUGGUAGGUAUAGUGAAAGACAAUACUGACUAGGAUAGCUGGUUUUCUGCGAAACCUAUAACAGUAGGCAAUUUAAGUAAAUAUCUUAGCAGGUACAGAAUUUAAUCUCAGGCAAUGUUUUGCGCAAAUUGGGGAAUCGUGAAGAUUUUAUCAGUGAGUAUGUAGACUCGGAAUGGCAAAGAUAUAUCUUGAAUGGUCAGACAUAGAAUGACACCGUGUAUGUCAAAAGGGAAACAGCCCAGAACAAGAGUUAAGGUUCCUAAAUUAUUUGUUAAGUGAAAAUAAGAAGGUUUUUAUUAAAGUCGACAAGGAGAUAGGCUUAGAAGCAGCCAUAAUUUUAUGACCUCGUAACAGAGCGCUUGUUAAGUUAUAAAAGCAUCGAAAAUAUAACGGAUCUAAACAAUAUACCGAAACCUUGUCCAUAAUUAAUAUAGUUUUAUAUAAAGCUAUAUAUUUAUGGGGUAGCAGAACGUUGAAUUAAACUAAAUAAUAAGUUUAUAAAUUUAUUAUGUUAAUUCAAGUGAGAAUGGUGACAUGAGUAACGAAAAGAAUAGUAGAUUUUGGCGAUAAUUAUAAUUUAAGGCGCAAGCUCAUAAUUAAACAAAUACAUUAAAUAAUAGAUCUUAUUUAAUGCUUACAAGAUCUGCUAUCCGCCUAAAGCUUAUGGUUAGAAUUAAGUAACGGCCUCUAAGCUUUUUAUCUAAAGAUUGAAGCGAUGAGAAAAUCUUUUAUUAUGAGACGACAUUUAUCUAGUGAAAAAUGUACAGGAAAUAUCAUAAUAUAGUAACCGUACCUAGAAACCGACUACGGUAAGCUAGUAGAGUAUACGAAGGCGUAAUUGAGAUAACAAUCAUAAAGGAACUCGGCAAAUUGACUAUCGUAACUUCGGGAUAAGUAGGGCUCAUUAUUCUUGAUUAAUAUCAGGUAAAGAGGAAGAAACAUAAAAUAAUGUUGUACGACUGUUUAAUUAAAACACAGCACUUUGCUUAAAGAUUAAAAAUCUAUGUAUAAAGUGUGAUAUCUGCCCGGUGCCGGCUGGCUAACAGAGAUAAUUGAAUAUAUUACUAUUUGAUGUCAACGGAAGCCCCGGUUAAAGGCGGCCUUAACGUGAGGGUCCUAAGGUAGCGAAAUGCCUUGGCCGUUAAAUGCGGUCUUGCAUGAAUAAAAACACCAACUAUUAAAUAUGACAAUAAUAAAAAAUAAUAAACAACUAAAAACUUUACAAUUCCUGUUAUUAAAACAGUGUUUUCAUAGUUAUUCUUCUUUGUUAAAAAAAGAUUGACCUUUAAUAAAACAAAGUAGAAUAAGGGGCGAUGAGAGUCCUUAUACAUUAGCUAUGAAAUUUAUCAACAAUAAUUAUUUAAUAACUGCUGUUGAAGUAAAUAAUGUAAUUGAUUAAAUAUUCAUGAGAAACCUUUAUUUUUAUUCUUCAUUUGAAUGAAUUGAUAUACCUAUAGUAUAUCAUCCUAGUUCAGCCUAAUUUUAUUAACUUGCUACGCAAGCUAUAAAUAGGUACCCUUGGAAAGGAACUAUGACUAGGGGACAGUUUAUGUGGGGCACAGACCCUGUAAAGAGUAAACAGGUGUGUCUAAUAAUUUUUUUAUUUUGUUUGCUAUUUUUAUAUAAAUCGUAUUCACUUUGAUAUAAUUGUAUUAUAUAGCUUGCUAUAUAAUUAUAUUUAUAUUGAAAAUUUAGGUAAGAUUUUGACUAUACUGAAAUUAGAGAUAAUUUAAAAUUUUAUGUUAUACUUUAUUGUUAUGACUAAAAUUUUAUAGUUAUUUUCAUAAUAAUUAUGUUUUCAAUAUCUAAAAAGCUCAACGGCUUAAUCUUGCCUUACUGUUUGAUUAUCGACAAAUCUUACAGUUGCGUAAGCAGGGCAUAGGAUCACAAGAUGCAAUAAGGAAAGAUCUUGGAUUAUUGGAAAAGCUACGCUAGGGAUAACAGGCUAAUUUGCGCAAGAGUGUACAAAAUGAGUGCGCGGUUUGGCACCUCGAUGUCGGCUUAACUUAUCCUCAUGGAUGCAGAAACUAUGUAGGGUGCGACUGUUCGUCGAUUAAAAAGUUACAUGAGCUGGGUUAAAUACGUCGUGAGACAGUAUGGUUUCUAUCUUCUAGAGGGAAUUAGAAUAAAAUAAGAACGAACUUUUGUACGAAAGGAACAAGAAUGAUUUUACAGCUUGCUAUGCAAGUGACAAAUUAUAGUUACUAACCUAUGGUUUACCUGUUGUUUAUAUGCCCUGUUAUUAAAUAUAUAAGUAGUAUAAAUAUUAACAUAUUUAUUGAUUAGUAUUUAGUUAUAAAUAUUUAUAUUUAGAUCAAUACGAUACUAGUACAGUAGCAUUCGCUAUUGCUAUUUAUAUAAAUGUAUAUAUUAUUAAUAUAUACAGAGGAUGUAUCGUUCGCUAGGAUAAUAUAUUAUAUAGGCACGGCAGGAAAGCUAAGUUGGUUAAGGAUAAGUGCUGAAAGCAUAUAGGCACGAAGCUUAUCUUAAGAUAUUUCUUAAAUAUAUGUAUUAGAAUAAUACACAAUAGGCUUUCUUUGUAAGAAUCUAGAGAUUUGUAAGAUGAAAGUACUAAUUUUAUAAAUUACUAUGUAUAUAUAUAUCA
This 3188-nucleotide ribosomal RNA is filed under the name Cordyceps pruinosa. Its description in RNAcentral is "large subunit ribosomal RNA". It matches the Rfam family "Bacterial large subunit ribosomal RNA". The record is from RNAcentral. Lineage: Eukaryota; Fungi; Ascomycota; Sordariomycetes; Hypocreales; Cordycipitaceae.